RNAcentral lists this unclassified non-coding RNA (334 nucleotides) under Hevea brasiliensis (rubber tree). Lineage: Eukaryota; Viridiplantae; Streptophyta; Magnoliopsida; Malpighiales; Euphorbiaceae. The record is from RNAcentral.
AACAAGAAAAAAUUUUCCAUAAAUCAGUUUUCUGUGAUAUACAAGCAAGUACAAGGUAGAAAGACAGCCUUUCUCUGUGUCCAUCUGAAGUUGUUAUUUUUCUUAGUCACUGUGCAGUCCCAUUUUGAUAUGCAAUAAUUGAUUGUUAUUGUGGCUUUUUCUGUUAGAUGGCAGUUCCUCAGCAAUUAUUCCUUAGCAUUUGAAAAUAAUUUCAAUUUUCUUGUGAUUUAAUAUUUUGCAUUACUUGUUUUGUGAUACUUAUUCAUGUUUGUAUUUCUUGAUUUGUUCUCAAAAAAGAAAAUAACAAAUGUUCUAUCUUUUGAUCUUGUACCAC